AUAGGGGAAGGAGGGUUGUCUGCUGUCUGGUAGGAGGGCUUUGUCUGUGUGCGCCUUUCUCUCUCUCCCUCUCUCGCUCUCCCUGUCUCUCGCACUCUCGCUCGCUCUCGCUCGCUCUCUCUCGCUCGCUCUCCCUUUCCCGUCUCUGUGGUUUGUAAGGUAGGUUGCAGUGUGUGUAUAUACACAACAUCAAGAGCAGGAAAAUGGACUCAUUAGGGAGGCAGGCAGUCAUUACCACUCACACUGUACUUCCAGGGAGACAGCGACUAUGAGGAGACAAACUGAGGACUGGGGAACAAGCAGCAUAAGAAAGAAGUGUUGAGAGCUGCUCUUAACCCUUUUGGAGGCCAAAGUCAAAAGGGAACUAGAGGGCUUGACGCAUCCUUUACAUCCUGCAUUUACUCUGACCACAGUCCCUCCCUGUUCUCACGAGCGGAGCUCAGCCCUGCUUCCCUUCCUGUUGAUUCCCAGUCAGCUACAUGACUGCCUGAAGUUACAUUGUAGAUGCUGAAAUCACUGCACCUUAAAAACAAAAAGAUUAAGCCACACUGCAUUCCUAAUGCUGGAAUUUUUGGACUGUGCAUCUGUUUAGGCACGUGGAGAAAGACAAGACUGAGAUCAUCAGUGGUUGGCAGUUUUCCUCAACUUUGCGAGAGAGAGAGAGAGAUUGUGUUGGAAUGAAACCUUGCUCUGCGUACAGCCUGCUUGAGAUGCAGCAUUGAAAGAAAAAUUUGUUGUCAGUGUUGAAAAUAGAAAAAACAUGGAAAUUAAAAAGGGGAAACAUUGCUGUAAUUCAGCUGUGGCUAGCAAAAACCUUUUGAAGUGGCACUAGCAGAGAGGUAGGGCUCCUUGCUUUGACUGUUUUGUCCUUAAAAUAGCUUUUUGUAGAAAAGAGUCAAAUAAAAACUCGUGUGCAAGUCAACAGUUUUCCAUUUACUGUAAAAUGAAAACAUUCACCCUCAAGA
This is a non-coding RNA of Zonotrichia albicollis (white-throated sparrow), 965 nucleotides long. The record is from RefSeq and is a predicted model, not a curated record. NCBI's taxonomy places the organism in Eukaryota, Metazoa, Chordata, Aves, Passeriformes, Passerellidae.